This 385-nucleotide ribosomal RNA is filed under the name uncultured crenarchaeote. RNAcentral describes it as "partial 16S ribosomal RNA". It matches the Rfam family "Archaeal small subunit ribosomal RNA", at positions 474 to 859 of the family's 1478-position model. Lineage: Archaea; Thermoproteati; Thermoproteota. The record is from RNAcentral.
ACCCAGCACCUCAAGUGGUCAGGAUGAUUAUUGGGCCUAAAGCAUCCGUAGCCGGCUCUGUAAGUUUUCGGUUAAAUCUGUACGCUCAACGUACAGGCUGCCGGGAAUACUGCMKAGCUWGGGAGUGGGAGAGGUAGACGGUACUCGGUAGGAAGGGGUAAAAUCCUUUGAUCUAUUGAUGACCACCUGUGGCGAAGGCGGUCUACCASAACACGUCCGACGGUGAGGGAUGAAAGCUGGGGGAGCAAACCGGAUUAGAUACCCGGGUAGUCCCAGCUGUAAACUAUGCAAACUCAGUGAUGCAUUGGCUUGUGGCCAAUGCARUGCUGCAGGGAAGCCGUUAAGUUUGCCGCCUGGGAAGUACGUACKCAAGUWYGAAACUUWW